This 505-nucleotide ribosomal RNA is filed under the name uncultured bacterium. RNAcentral describes it as "partial 16S ribosomal RNA". It matches the Rfam family "Bacterial small subunit ribosomal RNA", at positions 28 to 507 of the family's 1533-position model. The record is from RNAcentral.
GACGAACGCUGGCGGCGUGCCUAAUACAUGCAAGUAGAACGCACAGUUUAUACCGUAGCUUGCUACACCAUAGACUGUGAGUUGCGAACGGGUGAGUAACGCGUAGGUAACCUGCCUGGUAGCGGGUGAUAACUAUUGGAAACGAUAGCUAAUACCGCAUAAUCUUCAUUAUUGCAUGAUAAUUAAUUGAAAGGUGCAAUUGCACCACUACCAGAUGGACCUGGGUUGUAUUAGCUAGUAGGUUAGGUAACGGCUCACCUAGGCGACGAUACAUAGCCGACCUGGGAAGGUGAACGGCCACACUGGGACUGGGACACGGCCCAGACUCCUAAGGGAGGCAGCAGUAGGGAAUCUUCGGCAAUGGACGAAAGUCUGACCGGGCAACGCCGCGUGAGGGAAGGAGGUUUUCGGAUCGUAAAGCUCUGUUGUAAGGGAAGAAAGGGUGUGAGAGUGGAAAGUGCACACUGUGACGGUACCUUACCAGAAAGGGACGGCUAACUACGUG